AUUAAACGCUGGCGGCAUGCCUUACACAUGCAAGUCGAACGGCAGCACGGGGGCAACCCUGGUGGCGAGUGGCGGACGGGUGAGUAACACAUCGGAACGUGCCCUGGAGUGGGGGAUAACGCAGCGAAAGCUACGCUAAUACCGCAUAUUCUGUGAGCAGGAAAGCAGGGGAUCGCAAGACCUUGCGCUUUGGGAGCGGCCGAUGUCGGAUUAGCUAGUUGGUGGGGUAAAGGCUUACCAAGGCGACGAUCCGUAGCGGGUCUGAGAGGAUGAUCCGCCACACUGGGACUGAGACACGGCCCAGACUCCUACGGGAGGCAGCAGUGGGGAAUUUUGGACAAUGGGCGGAAGCCUGAUCCAGCCAUGCCGCGUGAGUGAAGAAGGCCUCGGUUGU
Molecule: ribosomal RNA, 394 nt
Filed under: uncultured bacterium
Lineage: Bacteria
Description: bacterial SSU rRNA
Rfam family: Bacterial small subunit ribosomal RNA
Source: RNAcentral